This 123-nucleotide transfer RNA is filed under the name Lachnellula suecica. RNAcentral describes it as "tRNA-Cys". The record is from RNAcentral. Lineage: Eukaryota; Fungi; Ascomycota; Leotiomycetes; Helotiales; Lachnaceae.
GGACCGCUGGCGCAACGGUAGCGCGUUGUAAGUUUACAACAUUCAAAAACAUAAAACAAAUUACUAACAGUAUGAUAGCGCCUCCAGAGCGAAAGGUUAUCCGUUCAAAUCGGGUGUGGUUCA